Molecule: non-coding RNA, 445 nt
Organism: Pelobates cultripes (western spadefoot toad)
Lineage: Eukaryota; Metazoa; Chordata; Amphibia; Anura; Pelobatidae
Source: the annotation of a GenBank genome assembly
CCAGGAUACUGAUUGUCCAGGUGGUCUGUGCCAGGCUAGUGAUGGUCCCAGGUGGACUGAGCCAGGCUAGUGAUGGUCCAGGUGGUCUGAGCCAGGCUAGUGAUGGUCCAGGUGGUCUGAGCCAGGCUAGUUUUGGUCCAGAUGGACUGAGCCAAGCUAGUGAGGGUCCAGAUAGUGUGAGCCAAGCUAGUGAUGGCCCCGGGUGGUCUGAGCCAGGCUAGUGAUUGUCCCAGGUGGAUGAAGUCAGGCUAGUGAUGGUCCAGGUGGUCUGAGACAGGCUAGUGAUGGCCCCAGGUGCUCUGAGCCAGGAUAGUGAUUGUCCCAGGUGGACUAAGUCAGGCUAGUGAUGGUCCAGGUGGUCUGAGCCAGGCUAGUGAUGGUCCCAGGUGGCCUCUAGGUGGCCCAUCCCAGGCAGGUAGAGGAAGCCCGCAGUGCCCAUGGCUGG